This 254-nucleotide ribosomal RNA is filed under the name uncultured bacterium. RNAcentral describes it as "partial 16S ribosomal RNA". It matches the Rfam family "Bacterial small subunit ribosomal RNA", at positions 524 to 776 of the family's 1533-position model. The record is from RNAcentral.
UACGAAGGGGGCUAGCGUUGUUCGGAAUUACUGGGCGUAAAGGGUGUGUAGGCGGUUGUUUAAGUUUGGUGUGAAAUCUCCCGGCUCAACUGGGAGGGUGCGCCGAAUACUGAAUGACUUGGAGUGCGGGAGAGGAAAGUGGAAUUCCUGGUGUAGCGGUGAAAUGCGUAGAUAUCAGGAGGAACACCGGUGGUGUAGACGGCUUUCUGGACCGUAACUGACGCUGAGACACGAAAGCGUGGGUAGCAAACAGG